This 253-nucleotide ribosomal RNA is filed under the name uncultured bacterium. RNAcentral describes it as "partial 16S ribosomal RNA". It matches the Rfam family "Bacterial small subunit ribosomal RNA", at positions 524 to 776 of the family's 1533-position model. The record is from RNAcentral.
UACGUAGGGACCAAGCGUUGUUCGGAUUUACUGGACGUAAAGGGCGCGUAGGCGGCGUGACAAGUCACUUGUGAAAUCUCCGGGCUUAACUCGGAACGGCCAAGUGAAACUGUCAUGCUAGAGUGCAGAAGGGGCAAUCGGAAUUCUUGGUGUAGCGGUGAAAUGCGUAGAUAUCAAGAGGAACACCUGAGGUGAAGACGGGUUGCUGGGCUGACACUGACGCUGAGGCGCGAAAGCCAGGGGAGCAAACGGG